AGUUGGCCGGUCAAAUUACAGGUACUACAACCAUUUUCUGAAUUGAUGAGGUUGAGAGCUCUGUUUCUGUUCCUACGGAUGGACAAUGGCCCAAACACCCUCUGAUAUGGUCUAGCAUCUAUCCCAUUUUCACACCAAACUAUGAGGAAAGAGCAUUAGGGAAGGCCACUGAAGCCCUUCCUUUGCCAGCAUUCUCAAACUGGGCAUGGCAAAUGCAAAGCCAUAGCGUGGUGUUGAAGUCGAUUGUGGUUGAUAUCUUCAUAGAGUUUUAAUUCAUAUAAUGAACUAUGUUGAAUUAUUUUGAUCCUAUUUUGAGUUUUAACGCAUAUAAUAAACUAUGUUGAAGUGAAUUUGGAUACUUUGUGUUUUAAUUUUUGUAAAAUUUUAUUUUUUAUAUAUUUUUUGUGGUUUGGGAGUAGAGUGCCUUUGGU
Non-coding RNA from Camellia sinensis, 431 nucleotides. NCBI's taxonomy places the organism in Eukaryota, Viridiplantae, Streptophyta, Magnoliopsida, Ericales, Theaceae. The record is from RefSeq and is a predicted model, not a curated record.